Molecule: ribosomal RNA, 440 nt
Filed under: uncultured bacterium
Lineage: Bacteria
Description: partial 16S ribosomal RNA
Rfam family: Bacterial small subunit ribosomal RNA
Source: RNAcentral
CCUACGGGUGGCAGCAGUAGGGAAUAUUGCUCAAUGGGGGAAACCCUGAAGCAGCAACGCCGCGUGGAGGAUGAAGGUUUUCGGAUUGUAAACUCCUUUUGUUAGAGAAGAUAAUGACGGUAUCUAACGAAUAAGCACCGGCUAACUCCGUGCCAGCAGCCGCGGUAAUACGGAGGGUGAAAGCGUUACUCGGAAUCACUGGGCGUAAAGAGCGCGUAGGCGGGAUAGCAAGUCAGAUGGGAAAUCCUAGGGCUUAACCAUAGAACUGCAUUUGAAACUGGUAUUCUAGAGUAUGGGAGAGGUAGGUGGAAUUCUUGGUGUAGGGGUAAAAUCCGUAGAGAUCAAGAGGAAUACUCAUUGCGAAGGCGACCUGCUAGAACAUAACUGACGCUGAUGCGCGAAAGCGUGGGGAGCAAACAGGAUUAGAUACCCCAGUAGUC